UCUUUUCUUUUUUUGUUUUUUUUUUUUUUACCUCAGCUUUCAGUUUCUAUAGAAUCACGAAGCACAUGAUCCUCAUUUACAAAAUGGCGUGAACCGUAAGCCUUAGUUUCAGCUUUCAUAUAAGUUUGUUAGAAGAGUAAAAGAAGAAAAAAAAUGGAGUGUUUAGGAGCUCGAAAUUUGGCAGCAAUGGCGGUGUUUUCUUGCCCUACGAAGAGGAGAACAGUGAGAAGAAAUAAUAAACAGAGAAGUAGCUCAGCAACACGUUGUCGUUUAUAUAAAGUGAAAGCAGGGAGCGAUAGUUGUGUGGUUAUUAAUAAAGAAGAAUUUGCUGACGAGGAAGAUUAUAUAAAAGCUGGAGGUUCUGAACUUGUUUUUGUUCAAAUGCAGCAGAAUAAAACCAUGGAUAAGCAUUCUAAACUUUCCGACAAGUUGCGGCCUAUACCUAUUGGAGAUGAUGUAUUGGAUUUGGUAGUUAUUGGAUGUGGUCCGGCUGGUUUAGCUCUUGCUGCUGAAUCUGCUAAGUUAGGAUUAAGUGUUGGUCUUAUUGGUCCUGAUCUUCCUUUUACUAAUAAUUAUGGUGUUUGGGAAGAUGAAUUUAAAGAUCUUGGACUUGAAGGAUGUAUUGAACAUGUAUGGCGGGAUACUAUAGUAUAUCUUGAUGAUGAUGAUCCUAUUUUGAUUGGUCGUGCUUAUGGACGAGUUAAUAGGCAUUUGCUUCAUGAAGAGUUAUUAAGGAGGUGUGUCGAGUCAGGUGUUUCAUAUCUUAGCUCGAAAGUGGAAAGAAUAAUUGAAGCUGCUGAUGGUCAUAGUCUUGUUGCUUGUGAACAUGAUGUUGUUGUUUCUUGCAGGCUUGCUACUGUUGCAUCUGGAGCAGCUUCAGGGAAACUAUUGCAGUAUGAAGUGGGAGGUCCACGGGUUUCUGUCCAAACAGCUUAUGGUGUGGAGGUUGAGGUGGAAAACAAUCCAUAUGAUCCUAGUCUGAUGGUCUUCAUGGAUUACAGAGACUACAUUAAACAAAAAGUUCCCCAUUUAGAAGCUGAAUAUCCAACUUUUCUUUAUGCUAUGCCCAUGUCAUCAACAAGAGUUUUCUUUGAGGAGACUUGUUUGGCCUCCAAAGGUGCUAUGCCUUUUGACUUGUUAAAGAGAAAACUCAUGUCACGGUUAGAGACGAUGGGAAUUCGCAUUCUAAAAACCUAUGAAGAGGAAUGGUCAUAUAUUCCAGUUGGUGGUUCCUUGCCUAACACUGAGCAAAAGAACCUUGCAUUUGGUGCUGCAGCUAGUAUGGUGCAUCCAGCCACAGGGUAUUCUGUAGUCAGAUCAUUGUCAGAGGCUCCAAAUUAUGCUUCUGUAAUUGCAAGUAUAUUGAAACAAGAUCAAUCUAAUGGCAAGCUUACUUGUAAAAGAAGUAACGCAAUCUCAAUGCAAGCUUGGAAUACUCUUUGGCCACAAGAAAGGAAACGUCAAAGGGCAUUCUUUCUCUUUGGACUAGCACUUAUAAUACAACUGGAUAUUGAGGGCAUUAGGACAUUUUUCCACACCUUUUUCCGCUUACCCAGUUGUGGAGGUUGGGAUGUUUUAGAAUACCGUGAUCAUAAGGAGUGGGUAGUGAGAUAUAUCAGGAUUUCUGACUCAGGAAGGAAGUUACUUGUGCUUCAGAUGAAAUCGAAUUAUUUGUCUUAAGAAUGACAUGUUGCAGAGAACCAGCUACCUAAAACACUUUCUCUGGUUCUGAUUGAUUGAUGAAACAAUAUAUGGACAACAAACGUGCUUAAUUGCGGAAAUCCUAGAGCAGCAGGAUGUGGCAGGGAUUCCUUGGUUCAAGUCUGUCCUCAGCUGAUCUCUUACUAUUUGCCUUCUAUAUGUUUGUUAUUGCACCAAAUGAUUUGAGAAUGUCCCUUGUUAGGCAUCUAUUUUCUGAUCCAACUGGAGCAACUAUGAUAAGAACUUACCUCACACUAUAGGCCCCGUCUUUUCUAUUUUCUUUCUUCCACUUUUAAGCGCCAUGAGUAGUCCAAAUAAUAGUAGGUAUUUGUAUA
Ricinus communis (castor bean) is the source of this 2036-nucleotide RNA transcript. It is a transcript of the gene named lycopene epsilon cyclase, chloroplastic, with no coding region annotated. NCBI's taxonomy places the organism in Eukaryota, Viridiplantae, Streptophyta, Magnoliopsida, Malpighiales, Euphorbiaceae. The record is from RefSeq and is a predicted model, not a curated record. The transcript has 12 exons.